RNAcentral lists this small RNA (28 nucleotides) under Bombyx mori (domestic silkworm). RNAcentral's name for it is "ovarian small RNA-37253". Lineage: Eukaryota; Metazoa; Arthropoda; Insecta; Lepidoptera; Bombycidae. The record is from RNAcentral.
UUCCUAAAUAUGGAAAGCCAUUUACCAC